RNAcentral lists this ribosomal RNA (359 nucleotides) under Pseudotetracha mendacia. RNAcentral describes it as "partial 16S ribosomal RNA". Lineage: Eukaryota; Metazoa; Arthropoda; Insecta; Coleoptera; Carabidae. The record is from RNAcentral.
AAAGGUAGCGUAAUCAUUAGUUUUUUAAUUGAAAGCUUGUAUGAAUGGUUGGACGAGGUAAUAACUGUCUUUGUUUAAUGUAAAGUUGAAUUUAACUUUUGAGUCAAAAGGCUCAAAUUUAAUUGAUAGACGAGAAGACCCUAUAGAUCUUUAUUUACAAGGUUAUAUAUUAAAUUUGGAUAAAUUUAUGGUUUAUGAUUUUGUAAAUUUUAUUGGGGUAAUAUAGAGAUUUAAUAAAUUCUUUGAAUAAUUUCAACAAUGAUGAUUGACAAAUUGAUCCAUUAGUAUUGAUUAUAAGAUUAAGUUACCUUAGGGAUAACAGCGUAAUUUUUUUAAAGAGUUCAUAUCGAUAAAAAAGU